AAAAAAGGGAAUCUAACCUCUUACCGUGCUAUAAAAAGAGAGAAUAAUGGCGUGCAUAUAAAUCCCAGCGGGUUCACCGAAAUGGCAAGGCAUUUUUCCUCACCUUUUUCUCCUUCCUCUCUUCCCGUUUUCUCUCUCUCGUCCGUCUCUUUCCGGUCUUUCUCCACGGUUGGAGAGAGAAAGAGAGUGGACUCUGGGCGGAGUUUGGCCCUAAGAAACCCUAGAAAUCUUCUCUUUUUCUCCGCACUCCUUAUCUCGACUCCAUGGUAAGCUUAGAUACGAGAAGAUCUUUAGAAAUCUUUCUUCUUCUUCUUCUUCUUCUUCUUUCUUUUUUUUUUUUUUUUUUUG
This 348-nucleotide long non-coding RNA is filed under the name Elaeis guineensis (African oil palm). Its description in RNAcentral is "long non-coding RNA (EGUI_LNC073625)". Lineage: Eukaryota; Viridiplantae; Streptophyta; Magnoliopsida; Arecales; Arecaceae. The record is from RNAcentral.